This 1547-nucleotide ribosomal RNA is filed under the name Faucicola osloensis. RNAcentral describes it as "bacterial SSU rRNA". It matches the Rfam family "Bacterial small subunit ribosomal RNA". The record is from RNAcentral. Lineage: Bacteria; Pseudomonadati; Pseudomonadota; Gammaproteobacteria; Moraxellales; Moraxellaceae.
UAGAUAGAAAGAUUAAACUGAAGAGUUUGAUCAUGGCUCAGAUUGAACGCUGGCGGCAGGCUUAACACAUGCAAGUCGAACGAUGACUCUCUAGCUUGCUAGAGAAGAUUAGUGGCGGACGGGUGAGUAACAUUUAGGAAUCUGCCUAGUAGUGGGGGAUAGCUCGGGGAAACUCGAAUUAAUACCGCAUACGACCUACGGGUGAAAGGGGGCGCAAGCUCUUGCUAUUAGAUGAGCCUAAAUCAGAUUAGCUAGUUGGUGGGGUAAAGGCCCACCAAGGCGACGAUCUGUAACUGGUCUGAGAGGAUGAUCAGUCACACCGGAACUGAGACACGGUCCGGACUCCUACGGGAGGCAGCAGUGGGGAAUAUUGGACAAUGGGGGCAACCCUGAUCCAGCCAUGCCGCGUGUGUGAAGAAGGCCUUUUGGUUGUAAAGCACUUUAAGCAGGGAGGAGAGGCUAAUGGUUAAUACCCAUUAGAUUAGACGUUACCUGCAGAAUAAGCACCGGCUAACUCUGUGCCAGCAGCCGCGGUAAUACAGAGGGUGCGAGCGUUAAUCGGAAUUACUGGGCGUAAAGCGAGUGUAGGUGGCUCAUUAAGUCACAUGUGAAAUCCCCGGGCUUAACCUGGGAACUGCAUGUGAUACUGGUGGUGCUAGAAUAUGUGAGAGGGAAGUAGAAUUCCAGGUGUAGCGGUGAAAUGCGUAGAGAUCUGGAGGAAUACCGAUGGCGAAGGCAGCUUCCUGGCAUAAUAUUGACACUGAGAUUCGAAAGCGUGGGUAGCAAACAGGAUUAGAUACCCUGGUAGUCCACGCCGUAAACGAUGUCUACUAGCCGUUGGGGUCCUUGAGACUUUAGUGGCGCAGUUAACGCGAUAAGUAGACCGCCUGGGGAGUACGGCCGCAAGGUUAAAACUCAAAUGAAUUGACGGGGGCCCGCACAAGCGGUGGAGCAUGUGGUUUAAUUCGAUGCAACGCGAAGAACCUUACCUGGUCUUGACAUAGUGAGAAUCCUGCAGAGAUGCGGGAGUGCCUUCGGGAAUUCACAUACAGGUGCUGCAUGGCUGUCGUCAGCUCGUGUCGUGAGAUGUUGGGUUAAGUCCCGCAACGAGCGCAACCCUUUUCCUUAUUUGCCAGCGGGUUAAGCCGGGAACUUUAAGGAUACUGCCAGUGACAAACUGGAGGAAGGCGGGGACGACGUCAAGUCAUCAUGGCCCUUACGACCAGGGCUACACACGUGCUACAAUGGUAGGUACAGAGGGUUGCUACACAGCGAUGUGAUGCUAAUCUCAAAAAGCCUAUCGUAGUCCGGAUUGGAGUCUGCAACUCGACUCCAUGAAGUCGGAAUCGCUAGUAAUCGCAGAUCAGAAUGCUGCGGUGAAUACGUUCCCGGGCCUUGUACACACCGCCCGUCACACCAUGGGAGUCUAUUGCACCAGAAGUAGGUAGCCUAACGAAAGAGGGCGCUUACCACGGUGUGGUCGAUGACUGGGGUGAAGUCGUAACAAGGUAGCCGUAGGGGAACCUGCGGCUGGAUCACCUCCUUAA